This 422-nucleotide ribosomal RNA is filed under the name uncultured prokaryote. RNAcentral's name for it is "bacterial SSU rRNA". It matches the Rfam family "Bacterial small subunit ribosomal RNA", at positions 355 to 774 of the family's 1533-position model. The record is from RNAcentral.
UGGGGAAUCAUGGUCAAUGGGCGGGAGCCUGAACCAGCCAAGUCGCGUGAAGGAAGAAGGAUCUAUGGUUCGUAAACUUCUUUUGCAGGGGAAUAAAGUGCAGGACGUGUCCUGUUUUGUAUGUACCCUGAGAAUAAGGAUCGGCUAACUCCGUGCCAGCAGCCGCGGUAAUACGGAGGAUCCGAGCGUUAUCCGGAUUUAUUGGGUUUAAAGGGUGCGUAGGUGGUUUGAUAAGUCAGCGGUGAAAGUUUGCAGCUUAACUGUAAAAAUGCCGUUGAAACUGUCGGACUUGAGUGUAAAUGAGGUAGGCGGAAUGCGGGGUGUAGCGGUGAAAUGCAUAGAUAUCACGCAGAACUCCAAUUGCGAAGGCAGCUUGCCAAGCCACAACUGACACUGAAGCACGAAAGCGUGGGGAUCAAACA